GAUGAACGCUGGCGGCGUGCCUAAUACAUGCAAGUCGAGCGAACGGACGAGAAGCUUGCUUCUCUGAUGUUAGCGGCGGACGGGUGAGUAACACGUGGAUAACCUACCUAUAAGACUGGGAUAACUUCGGGAAACUGUAGCUAAUACCGGAUAAUAUUUUGAACCGCAAGGUUCAAAAGUGAAAGACGGUCUUGCUGUCACUUAUAGAUGGAUCCGCGCUGCAUUAGCUAGUUGGUAAGGUAACGGCUUACCAAGGCAACGAUGCAUAGCCGACCUGAGAGGGUGAUCGGCCACACUGGAACUGAGACACGGUCCAGACUCCUACGGGAGGCAGCAGUAGGGAAUCUUCCGCAAUGGGCGAAAGCCUGACGGAGCAACGCCGCGUGAGUGAUGAAGGUCUUCGGAUCGUAAAACUCUGUUAUUAGGGAAGAACAUAUGUGUAAGUAACUGUGCACACCUUGACGGUACCUAAUCAGAAAGCCACGGCUAACUACGUG
RNAcentral lists this ribosomal RNA (497 nucleotides) under uncultured bacterium. RNAcentral describes it as "partial 16S ribosomal RNA". It matches the Rfam family "Bacterial small subunit ribosomal RNA", at positions 28 to 507 of the family's 1533-position model. The record is from RNAcentral.